RNAcentral lists this ribosomal RNA (468 nucleotides) under uncultured bacterium. Its description in RNAcentral is "partial 16S ribosomal RNA". It matches the Rfam family "Bacterial small subunit ribosomal RNA", at positions 28 to 507 of the family's 1533-position model. The record is from RNAcentral.
GACGAACGCUGGCGGCGUGCUUAACACAUGCAAGUCGAACGGAAAGGCCCCGCUCUUGUGGGAUGCUCGAGUGGCGAACGGGUGAGUAACAAGUGUGUAACCUGCUCUUGACUGGGGGAAAAUUACAGGAAACUGGGGAAAAUACCGGAUAGGAGCUUCUGGUGCAUGGUGGGGGUUGGAAAGUUUCGGCGGUGGGGGAUGGGCUCGCGGGUUAUCAGCGUGUGGGUGGGGAAGUGGUUUACCAAGGCUUUGACGGGUAGCCGGCCUGAGAGGGUGACCGGCCCCAUUGGGACUAAGAUAGGGCCCAGACUCCAACGGGAGGCAGCGGGGGGAAAUAUGGCACAAUGGUGGGAGGCCUGUGCCGGCAACGCCGGGUGCGGAAUGACGGCCUUGGGUUGUUAAACCGUUUUCGCCUGGGACAAGGCGUGAGUGACGGUAAUGGGUAAAGAAGCACCGGCUAACUACGUG